CCUACGGGUGGCAGCAGUGGGGAAUAUUGGGCAAUGGGCGCAAGCCUGACCCAGCAACGCAGCGUGAAGGAAGACGGCUCUCGGGUUGUAAACUUCUUUUCUGGGGGACGAACAAAUGACGGUACCCCAGGAAUAAGCUAUGGCUAAGUACGUGCCAGCAGCCGCGUCAAUACGUAGGUGGCAAGCGUUAUCCGGAUUUAUUGGGUGUAAAGGGCGUGUAGGCGGGAAUGCAAGUCAGAUGUGAAAACUCAGGGCUCAACCCUGAGCCUGCAUUUGAAACUGGGUUUCUUGAGUGCAGGAGAGGCAAGCGGAAUUCGGGGUGUAGCGGUGAAAUGCGUAGAUAGACGGAAGAACACCGGUGGCGAAGGCGGAUUGCUGAACAGUAACUGACGCUGAGGCGCGAAAGCGUGGGGAGCAAACAGGAUUAGAUACCCGGGUAGUC
Molecule: ribosomal RNA, 442 nt
Filed under: uncultured bacterium
Lineage: Bacteria
Description: partial 16S ribosomal RNA
Rfam family: Bacterial small subunit ribosomal RNA
Source: RNAcentral